Molecule: ribosomal RNA, 253 nt
Filed under: uncultured bacterium
Lineage: Bacteria
Description: partial 16S ribosomal RNA
Rfam family: Bacterial small subunit ribosomal RNA
Source: RNAcentral
UACGUAGGGUGCAGGCGUUAAUCGGAAUUACUGGGCGUAAAGCGUGCGCAGGCGGUUUGCUAAGACAGGUGUGAAAGCCCCGGGCUCAACCUGGGAACCGCGCUUGAGACUGGCAUGCUCGAGUUCGGGAGAGGAUGGUGGAAUUCCCAGUGUAGAGGUGAAAUUCGUAGAUAUCGGGAGGAACACCGGUGGCGAAGGCGGCGACCUGGGUCGACACUGACGCUGAGGCGCGAAAGCGUGGGGAGCAAACAGG